RNAcentral lists this ribosomal RNA (533 nucleotides) under Trichophyton mentagrophytes. Its description in RNAcentral is "eukaryotic LSU rRNA". It matches the Rfam family "Eukaryotic large subunit ribosomal RNA", at positions 76 to 609 of the family's 3401-position model. Lineage: Eukaryota; Fungi; Ascomycota; Eurotiomycetes; Onygenales; Arthrodermataceae. The record is from RNAcentral.
UGCCCCAGUAACGGCGAGUGAAGCGGCAAGAGCUCAAAUUUGAAAUCUGGCCUCCCCCGGGGGCCCGAGUUGUAAUUUGCAGAGGAUGCUUCGGGUGCGGCCGCCGUCUAAGUUCCUUGGAACAGGACGUCAGAGAGGGUGAGAAUCCCGUCUUGGGCGGGCGGUCCGCGCCCGUGUGAAGCUCCUUCGACGAGUCGAGUUGUUUGGGAAUGCAGCUCUAAGCGGGUGGUAAAUUUCAUCUAAAGCUAAAUAUUGGCCGGAGACCGAUAGCGCACAAGUAGAGUGAUCGAAAGGUUAAAAGCACCUUGAAAAGGGAGUUAAACAGCACGUGAAAUUGUUGAAAGGGAAGCGCUUGCGGCCAGACUCGGGGGCGGGGUUCAGCGGGUGCUCGUCGCCCGUGUAUUCCUCGUCUCCCGGGCCAGCAUCAGUUUCGACGGCCGGUCAAAGGCCCCCGGAAUGUGUCGUCUCUCGGGACGUCUUAUAGCCGGGGGUGCAAUGCGGCCCGUCGGGACUGAGGAACGCGCUCCGGCUCG